This 587-nucleotide ribosomal RNA is filed under the name Cystofilobasidium macerans. RNAcentral describes it as "eukaryotic LSU rRNA". It matches the Rfam family "Eukaryotic large subunit ribosomal RNA", at positions 62 to 643 of the family's 3401-position model. The record is from RNAcentral. Lineage: Eukaryota; Fungi; Basidiomycota; Tremellomycetes; Cystofilobasidiales; Cystofilobasidiaceae.
AAACUAACAAGGAUUCCCCUAGUAACGGCGAGUGAAGCGGGAAGAGCUCAAAUUUAAAAUCUGGCAGGCUACGCUUGUCCGAAUUGUAAUCUCGAGAAGUGUUUUCCGCGUUGGCCUGUGUACAAGUCCCUUGGAACAGGGCGUCAUAGAGGGUGAGAAUCCCGUCCUUGACACAGACACCCAAUGCUUUGUGAUACACUCUCAAUGAGUCGAGUUGUUUGGGAAUGCAGCUCAAAAUGGGGUGGUAAAUUCCAUCUAAAGCUAAAUACUGGCGAGAGACCGAUAGCGAACAAGUACCGUGAGGGAAAGAUGAAAAGCACUUUGGAAAGAGAGUCAAACAGUACGUGAAAUUGUUGAAAGGGAAACGAUUGAAGUCAGUCGUGCCUGCCUAGUCUCAGCCUUUUGGUGUACUACUAGGUCGGCAGGUCAGCAUCAGUUUGGGAGGAUUAACAAGGGAGCUAGGAAUGUGGCAACCUCGGUUGUGUUAUAGCCUAGUUUCGCAUUGAUCUUGCUGGACUGAGGAACGCAGUGCGCCCGCAAGGUUGUCUUCGACACAUUCGCACUUAGGAUGCUGCAUAAUGCUUUAA